CGUCAGUUUUCUGAUAUUUCUAGAAGGUC
RNAcentral lists this non-coding RNA (29 nucleotides) under Homo sapiens (human). Lineage: Eukaryota; Metazoa; Chordata; Mammalia; Primates; Hominidae. The record is from RNAcentral.